GUACACACCGCCCGUCACACCAUGGGAGUGGGUUGCUCCAGAAGUAGCUAGUCUAACCGCAAGGGGGACGGUUACCACGGAGUGAUUCAUGACUGGGGUGAAGUCGUAACAAGGUAGCCGUAGGGGAACCUGCGGCUGGAUCACCUCCUUA
This 151-nucleotide ribosomal RNA is filed under the name Pseudomonas aeruginosa. RNAcentral's name for it is "partial 16S ribosomal RNA". It matches the Rfam family "Bacterial small subunit ribosomal RNA", at positions 1383 to 1533 of the family's 1533-position model. The record is from RNAcentral. Lineage: Bacteria; Pseudomonadati; Pseudomonadota; Gammaproteobacteria; Pseudomonadales; Pseudomonadaceae.